AUACAGAGGGUGCAAGCGUUAUUCGGAAUUACUGGGCGUAAAGCGCGCGUAGGCGGAUGAUUAAGUCAGUUGUGAAAGCCCUGGGCUCAACCUAGGAACUGCAUCUGAUACUGGUCGUCUAGAGUCUAAGAGAGGGAAGUGGAAUUCCAGGUGUAGCAGUGAAAUGCGUAGAUAUCUGGAGGAACAUCAGUGGCGAAGGCGACUUCCUGGCUUAAAACUGACGCUGAGGUGCGAAAGCGUGGGUAGCGAACGGGAUUAGAAACCCUUGUAGUCC
RNAcentral lists this ribosomal RNA (274 nucleotides) under uncultured bacterium. RNAcentral's name for it is "partial 16S ribosomal RNA". It matches the Rfam family "Bacterial small subunit ribosomal RNA", at positions 523 to 796 of the family's 1533-position model. The record is from RNAcentral.